Long non-coding RNA from Apteryx owenii (little spotted kiwi), 996 nucleotides. NCBI's taxonomy places the organism in Eukaryota, Metazoa, Chordata, Aves, Apterygiformes, Apterygidae. The record is from Ensembl.
GGCCGGAACCGGAACCGGGAGGGGGGACCGGAAGCGGGUCCUGUGGGCGGGGCCGGAACCGGGAGGGAGAAACCGGAACCGGGACAUGGGGGCGGGCCCGGCCUGUGAUUGACACCUGCCCCCCGCAGGCUUCCGCCGCAGCGACCGGGACGAGUACCAGAAGGAGCUCUACGAGACGGCGAACCGGUACCACGUGCUGCACAGCCUGGCGCUGCUGGCGGUGCCCCGCUGCCGCCGCCCCGCCCUGGCCGGCGCCCUGCUCUGCGGGGGGCUGGGGCUCUUCUGCGGCCCCUUCUACUACCACGCGGUGACGGGCGACCCGGGGCUGAACCGCGCCGCCCCCGUCGGCGGCUCCCUCCUCAUCCUCGGCUGGCUCGCUAUGGCCCUCUGAGGGGCCCCGGCGUCCGGGAGGGGCCCCGGCGUCCGGGGGGCCCCGGCGUCCGGGCCCCUCCCCCGCCGCCACGGGCCCCUCCGGGACCUGCUGCCCCCACACUGCGGCCUGUCCCUUUAAGGGGCGGAGCUUCCCCAGCGACCCCCUUCCCUGUUGGCUGAGCUACCGGCCAAUAGGGGAGGGGGGCUCGCUGUGUGCCAGGCCCUGAUUGGCCUGAAGCCCUGUAGAACAGCCAACCAAUAGGAAAGCGGCGGGUGACCUCUCCCUCCUUGCGAUUGGCUGUGGCAACCUCAGCUCCCGGCCAGCCAAUGGGAGCAGUGGAGCUGGCUUGCAUCAUGGCCGUUGCUGGGCAACAGCCAAUGGGCCACUGGCUCCCCUCUCAUUGGCUGGGAGAGCAGCCAAUCAGAAAGGUGGGCUCUACAGGCACCUCCAAUAGGGUGCCAGGAGCGUGAGGAGCCCGGCCAAUGGGGAGUGAGGUGGGUGAGGCGCUGCCCUGGGGAGGCUGCUGAUUGGCUGGAGAGGCAGCCAACGGCAGCUUCCGAUUGGCCAGGAGCCAGCCUGCCCCCUGCUCUUUUAACCAAUAAAGAAUGAAGCCUCCAGCUGCA